RNAcentral lists this ribosomal RNA (253 nucleotides) under uncultured bacterium. Its description in RNAcentral is "partial 16S ribosomal RNA". It matches the Rfam family "Bacterial small subunit ribosomal RNA", at positions 524 to 776 of the family's 1533-position model. The record is from RNAcentral.
UACGAAGGGGGCUAGCGUUGCUCGGAAUCACUGGGCGUAAAGGGUGCGUAGGCGGGUUUUUAAGUCAGGGGUGAAAUCCUGGAGCUCAACUCCAGAACUGCCUUUGAUACUGAAAAUCUUGAGUCCGGGAGAGGUGAGUGGGACUGCGAGUGUAGAGGUGAAAUUCGUAGAUAUUCGCAAGAACACCAGUGGCGAAGGCGGCUCACUGGCCCGGUACUGACGCUGAGGCACGAAAGCGCGGGGAGCAAACAGG